AGCGAACGCUGGCGGCAGGCCUAACACAUGCAAGUCGAACGAACCUUUCGGGGUUAGUGGCGGACGGGUGAGUAACACGUGGGAACGUGCCUUUAGGUUCGGAAUAACUCAGGGAAACUUGUGCUAAUACCGAAUGUGCCCUUCGGGGGAAAGAUUAAUCGCCUUUAGAGCGGCCCGCGUCUGAUUAGCUAGUUGGUUGAGGUAAUGGCUCACCAAGGCGACGUUCAGUAGCUGGUCUGAGAGGAUGAUCAGCCACAUUGGGACUGAGGCACGGCCCAAACUCCUACGGGAGGGAGCAGUGGGGAAUCUUGCGCAAUGGGCGAAAGCCUGACGCAGCCAUGCCGCGUGAAUGAUGAAGGUCUUAGGAUUGUAAAAUUCUUUCACCGGGGACGAUAAUGACGGUACCCGGAGAAGAAGCCCCGGCUAACUUCGUG
This 434-nucleotide ribosomal RNA is filed under the name uncultured bacterium. RNAcentral's name for it is "partial 16S ribosomal RNA". It matches the Rfam family "Bacterial small subunit ribosomal RNA", at positions 29 to 507 of the family's 1533-position model. The record is from RNAcentral.